RNAcentral lists this long non-coding RNA (1110 nucleotides) under Panax ginseng (ginseng). RNAcentral describes it as "long non-coding RNA (PGIN_LNC006551)". Lineage: Eukaryota; Viridiplantae; Streptophyta; Magnoliopsida; Apiales; Araliaceae. The record is from RNAcentral.
GUCAAUCAUCAAAUCUCAAACUAUUAUUACUGGUAUAGUGCGUGUGUGCUCAACAUCCAUGCUAACUGAUAUAAUGCUAAAUACAACACAUAAUAGAUCUCUUUAAAGGCAUCAUACAGUGCAAACUCAUAAAAUUCACGAACAAGCUAAAUCCAACUAAAUUCAAACAUCCACCAAAUUCAAGAGUCCAAUCCGGGAUACUUAUGUUUUACCUUGCAUUACGGGGACUUUUUGCUUUUUUCCCGUUUUAUUAUUUUUUUUUAACCAUAACUGUGCAAUGUCUCAUUCCAUUAGGCUAACAGUGCUACCCCUUAGCGAGCUUUCGACCAACGACUCCCAGACCAUAUAAGACCUUAGGGCGCUAGGUGUAAAGAUAAUCCCCUCGGGCGUACUUGCUCAAGUAACAAAGGCCCCGAAACAAGACUAACCACGAUAUUUUUUUUUCAUCAUUUUUUUCUUUUUUUUCUUUUUUUUUUCUUUUUUUUAAGCUUAUAUAUCCCAAAUCUUUCCCCCAAACUUAAGUUUUUGUCUAAAUUUAGCCAUCUCCGCCUGUUCAUGUCUUUCAUUCAUUCAAACUAAUAUUAUCCUUAAGAAGUCAAUUAUGUAUCAAUUUAAACUUAAUCAGUCAACAAAGUUGUUUCUAACGUGCUAACCUUGAUUAUACCAGUUUCAAACAGGAAAAGAUUCAAUUAAUAACAAGAAAUCACAUUAAAGUUCUAAUAAUCAGUACUAUUCUUGUCUACUCAAUUCCAAUCUCAUCAUUGGCCAAAAUAAACUGAACUAUCUAACAGCUGGAAUCAUGCAAGAAGAACAUAGUAACUAACUAUUAUUUUUGAAUUUUUGAUUAUUUUUUUUAUUUACAAGAAACUGAAUAUAAUGCUAUUCAAACUAUACUACUAUGCAACUACUUAUAUUUAUAAUAAAAAGAUAGUGAAUACCUUCAUUGUGUUGUGUUUUUAAUGGAAUGAUUGUAUAGUUAUGAGUACCGUGUAGCACCAUAUGUUGGGUUGGAAGAUACCCGAAUUUGGGGGCGUCACAGGCUUCCCAUCUAGACAUUUUAUAAUGGGUUAUCCGGAUCUACUCGAUUGAGUAUAGAUGCCUCCUCUAGAG